This 359-nucleotide long non-coding RNA is filed under the name Mytilus galloprovincialis (Mediterranean mussel). Lineage: Eukaryota; Metazoa; Mollusca; Bivalvia; Mytilida; Mytilidae. The record is from RNAcentral.
AAAAUUGAACACAAUGUUUGUAACCACAAAAGGAAGGUUGGGAUUGAUUUUAGGGGUUAUGGUCCCAAUGGUUAAGAAAUUAGGGGCCCAAAGGGGCCCAAAACAAGUAUUUAUCUAGCUUCAGGACAAUAAGUUGUGUAUAAGUAUUUCAAUUUCUCUGAUAUUGUACCACAAUGUUCAUACAAUAAAGUAGAAGUAGUUUCAGGACAAUAACUUGUGUAUAACUGUAUGGAUCUCUCUGACAUUGUACCACAAGGUUCCAUAUAACGAAGGGAAGGCUUUGAUUUAGUUCGGGGUUAAUAUCCCUGAACAUUUAGGAAUAAGGGGUCGAAAAGAAGCAUUUUUCUAGAUUACAGGCA